GCCCUCGUAGCUCAAUGGAUAGAGUACUUGGCUUCGGACCAAGGGGUUGGCGGUUCGAAUCCGUCCGAGGGCG
This 73-nucleotide transfer RNA is filed under the name soil metagenome. It matches the Rfam family "tRNA". Rfam says of the family: Transfer RNA (tRNA) molecules are approximately 80 nucleotides in length. The record is from RNAcentral. RNAcentral also lists the same sequence under 1 other name.